GUAGGUGGCAAGCGUUGUCCGGAAUUAUUGGGCGUAAAGCGCGCGCAGGCGGUUCUUUAAGUCUGAUGUGAAAGCCCACGGCUCAACCGUGGAGGGUCAUUGGAAACUGGAGAACUUGAGUACAGAAGAGGAAAGCGGAAUUCCACGUGUAGCGGUGAAAUGCGUAGAGAUGUGGAGGAACACCAGUGGCGAAGGCGGCUUUCUGGUCUGUAACUGACGCUGAGGCGCGAAAGCGUGGGGAGCAAACAGGGAUUAGAUACCCUGGUAGUCCACGCCGUAAACGAUGAGUGCUAAGUGUUAGGGGGGUUUCCGCCCCCUUAGUGCUGCAGCUAACGCAUUAAGCACUCCGCCUGGGGAGUACGGCCGCAUGGCUG
RNAcentral lists this ribosomal RNA (374 nucleotides) under uncultured organism. RNAcentral's name for it is "partial 16S ribosomal RNA". It matches the Rfam family "Bacterial small subunit ribosomal RNA", at positions 527 to 896 of the family's 1533-position model. The record is from RNAcentral.